CAGUAUUAGUGUCUUGCAACGGAGGCGCCUUCAUAAAAUCGCGACGACCAAAUCGCCCACCCCUCCUUUCUCUUCUGACCGCCACUCUGUCCAUCUC
This 97-nucleotide non-coding RNA is filed under the name Chromera velia. Lineage: Eukaryota; Chromeraceae. The record is from RNAcentral.